RNAcentral lists this ribosomal RNA (327 nucleotides) under Triticum aestivum (bread wheat). RNAcentral describes it as "partial small subunit ribosomal RNA". The record is from RNAcentral. Lineage: Eukaryota; Viridiplantae; Streptophyta; Magnoliopsida; Poales; Poaceae.
AUGAUGGAGAAGCAUUUGGCAACUAAGUUGGCGUUGGCCGAGAAGAACCAACAAAAGGAGGCAAAGUGGGAGAGAAGACGUGCCUCCGAGGAGCGCAAUAUCGCUCUUGAGGAGCAAAAGAGGAAGGACAACAAGAUCGCCGAGGAGGACCGAUUCUUGAUGAUGGAUCUGAGUGGUAUGGAGCCGAUGGCAACAAAGUUUUAUGAGUUGAAAAGAAUGGAUAUCAUGGUUCAUAGGAGGCAAGAGCUUCAUGAUCUUAUCGCCAGUGGUGGUGGUGCUUCGGCCAAUGUGGUGCUUCCGGCAAUGGUGAUGAUGGCGGUGCCAUAG